CCACAUAAUGAGAGUAGCGCACUGGUGAGUAACACGUGGGAACAUACCUUGAAGUGGGGGACAACAGAGGGAAACUUCUGCUAAUACCGCAUAAUCCCUGAGGGGGAAAGAUUUAUCGCUUUAAGAUUGGCCCGCGGAAGAUUAGGUAGUUGGUGGGGUAAAGGCCUACCAAGCCGACGAUCUAUAGCUGGUCUGAGAGGACGAACAGCCACAUUGGAACUGAGACACGGUCCAGACUCCUACGGGAGGCAGCAG
This 255-nucleotide ribosomal RNA is filed under the name uncultured bacterium. Its description in RNAcentral is "partial 16S ribosomal RNA". It matches the Rfam family "Bacterial small subunit ribosomal RNA", at positions 82 to 354 of the family's 1533-position model. The record is from RNAcentral.